UCCCUGGUGGUCCAGUCGUUAAGACUCUGACCUCUAAUGCAGAGGACUCAGGUUUGAUCCCUGGUUGGGGAA
Molecule: transfer RNA, 72 nt
Filed under: Bos taurus (domestic cattle)
Lineage: Eukaryota; Metazoa; Chordata; Mammalia; Artiodactyla; Bovidae
Also listed under: 4 other names
Rfam family: tRNA
About the family: Transfer RNA (tRNA) molecules are approximately 80 nucleotides in length. Their secondary structure includes four short double-helical elements and three loops (D, anti-codon, and T loops).
Source: Rfam by way of RNAcentral